Molecule: long non-coding RNA, 212 nt
Filed under: Mytilus galloprovincialis (Mediterranean mussel)
Lineage: Eukaryota; Metazoa; Mollusca; Bivalvia; Mytilida; Mytilidae
Source: RNAcentral
UCGUUGUAAUUUUAUCCGUUCUGAGGCGUACAAGAAACUUUAAAACGCCCGGUAUUUACAUUUGAUUUUUGUUCACGGGAACAUGCUUGUGACGUCACCUUGUUUCGUUGCCAUGCCAAGACAAUUACAUCAUUUCGCGGAAUUUUCGUUUUAUGAAAAAUUAAUUGAAAUGGACGUUUGUUUAUUUUGCUGAUAAAUAUAUUUUAUCUGAA